Molecule: ribosomal RNA, 981 nt
Filed under: hydrothermal vent metagenome
Description: bacterial LSU rRNA
Rfam family: Bacterial large subunit ribosomal RNA
Source: RNAcentral
GUGAACGGCGGCCGUAACUAUAACGGUCCUAAGGUAGCGAAAUUCCUUGUCGGGUAAGUUCCGACCUGCACGAAUGGCGUAACGAUGGCCAUGCUGUCUCCACCAGAGACUCAGUGAAAUUGAAUUUGCGGUGAAGAUGCCGUAUACGCGCGGCAAGACGGAAAGACCCCGUGCACCUUUACUAUAGCUUCACACUGGACUUUGAAUUUAUUUGUGUAGGAUAGGUGGGAGACUUUGAAGCGUAGGCGCUAGCUUACGUGGAGUCAUCCUUGAAAUACCACCCUAGUAGCUUUGGAGUUCUAACUUGGAUCCGUUAUCCGGAUCGAGGACAGUGUGUGGUGGGUAGUUUGACUGGGGCGGUCUCCUCCUAAAGAGUAACGGAGGAGUGCGAAGGUAACCUCAGCACGGUCGGACAUCGUGCAUUGAGUGCAAUGGCAUAAGGUUGCUUAACUGCGAGACAGACAUGUCGAGCAGAUACGAAAGUAGGUCAUAGUGAUCUGGUGGUUCUGUAUGGAAGGGCCAUCACUCAACGGAUAAAAGGUACGCCGGGGAUAACAGGCUUAUUCCCCCCAAGAGUUCACAUCGACGGGGGUGUUUGGCACCUCGAUGUCGGCUCAUCACAUCCCGGGGCUGGAGCAGGUCCCAAGGGUAUGGCUGUUCGCCAUUUAAAGUGGUACGCGAGCUGGGUUUAGAACGUCGUGAGACAGUUCGGUCCCUAUCUGCCGAGAAUUGAGAGGAGUUGCCCCUAGUACGAGAGGACCGGGGUGAACGUACCACUGGUGGACCGGUUGUAGCGCCAGCUGCAGUGCCGGGUAGCUAAGUACGGAAGGGAUAACCGCUGAAAGCAUCUAAGUGGGAAACUCGCCUCAAAACUAGUUCUUCCUAUAGAGCCGUGGUAGACUACCACGUUGAUAGGCUGGAUGUGGAAGCGCAGCAAUGCGUGUAGCUGACCAGUACUAAUAGCUCAAUUGGCUUGAUUUA